This 241-nucleotide unclassified non-coding RNA is filed under the name Hevea brasiliensis (rubber tree). Lineage: Eukaryota; Viridiplantae; Streptophyta; Magnoliopsida; Malpighiales; Euphorbiaceae. The record is from RNAcentral.
ACUGGAAUUUACUUUGGUUCAUCAAGCUCCGUUGCAUAUGUGGAAUUUGAGACAGUAGAGGGCAAAGAGAUUGCUAUUGCAAAGCAUUCAUUGACCAUGCUUGGAGAGACACUAUCAAUCUUGCGAAUCGAUGCACCAAGAACAACCAUUGUAAGGAUAUCAAAUAUCGCUAUCCCUUCCAGAGCCAAAGUGAUCUCCUUUUGCAAAAAUCUGGGACAGACUAGGCACUUCUUCAAGAAAG